This 305-nucleotide ribosomal RNA is filed under the name uncultured bacterium. RNAcentral's name for it is "bacterial SSU rRNA". It matches the Rfam family "Bacterial small subunit ribosomal RNA", at positions 336 to 658 of the family's 1533-position model. The record is from RNAcentral.
UUCCUACGGGGCGCAGCAGUGGGGAAUAUUGCACAAUGGGGGAAACCCUGAUGCAGCAACGCCGCGUGAGUGAAGAAGUAUUUCGGUAUGUAAAGCUCUAUCAGCAGGGAAGAAGAUGACGGUACCUGAUUAAGAAGCCCCGGCUAACUACGUGCCAGCAGCCGCGGUAAUACGUAGGGGGCAAGCGUGAUCCGGAUUUACUGGGUGUAAAGGGAGCGUAGACGGCAGUGCAAGUCUGAAGUGAAAGGCAAGGGCUCAACCUUUGGACUGCUUUGGAAACUGUGCUGCUAGAGUGUCGGAGAGGG